RNAcentral lists this ribosomal RNA (513 nucleotides) under uncultured bacterium. RNAcentral describes it as "partial 16S ribosomal RNA". It matches the Rfam family "Bacterial small subunit ribosomal RNA", at positions 28 to 523 of the family's 1533-position model. The record is from RNAcentral.
GACGAACGCUGGCGGCGUGCCUAAUACAUGCAAGUUGAGCGCUGGAGGUUGGUACUUGUACCGACUGGAUGAGCAGCGAACGGGUGAGUAACGCGUGGGGAAUCUGCCUUUGAGCGGGGGACAACAUUUGGAAACGAAUGCUAAUACCGCAUAACAACUUUAAACACAAGUUUUAAGUUUGAAAGAUGCAAUUGCAUCACUCAAAGAUGAUCCCGCGUUGUAUUAGCUAGUUGGUGAGGUAAAGGCUCACCAAGGCGAUGAUACAUAGCCGACCUGAGAGGGUGAUCGGCCACAGUGGGACUGAGACACGGCCCAAACUCCUACGGGAGGCAGCAGUAGGGAAUCUUCGGCAAUGGACGAAAGUCUGACCGAGCAACGCCGCGUGAGUGAAGAAGGUUUUCGGAUCGUAAAACUCUGUUGGUAGAGAAGAACGUUGGUGAGAGUGGAAAGCUCAUCAAGUGACGGUAACUACCCAGAAAGGGACGGCUAACUACGUGCCAGCAGCCGCCGUAA